Non-coding RNA from Oryza sativa Japonica Group (Japanese rice), 2317 nucleotides. NCBI's taxonomy places the organism in Eukaryota, Viridiplantae, Streptophyta, Magnoliopsida, Poales, Poaceae. The record is from RefSeq and is a predicted model, not a curated record.
GCGAGGAGGAAGCGGUGCCGACCGGCACUGGGCGCGCGCGACGCGUGGCCGAGACGUGGCAACGCCGAGCCGAGCCUCCUUCUCCUCCCAGCCGCAUCGCCCAUCCUCACUCCUCACUCUAGUGCCGACCAAAGUCACCAAACCGAGAGAGAGAGAGCCCUCGGACUUACCAUCACCCAAGAACUCGUCGCCGGCCGUGAAAAAGAUGAAAGCUUCCAUCGACGUCAAGCCGCCGACGGGAACGCGACCUCGUCUACGGGAGCUCUGGAGCGCGCUCCAAGCAUCCCCGCAGCCGACAUCGUCGUCGUUCCGACCGCUGUAGACCAAGCCAAGCCGAGCCGUCGCACCAACGUCUUCUCCUCAAGAAUCCCAGGCAAUGGCGCAGCAAGUGCGGAGAUCGGCCACCGUCUUCUUCACCUCCGGUCACCGUCGCCGUUGCCGAAUCCACCUCCUCCGUCCAUUGAAGGAAUCAAGCCGACGCCGUUCAACCGGAGUAGAGCGCCGUCGCCAAGCCGUUCCGCAAGCCACCGCUACCGCCAAGACCUCGGCAAACCUCGCUAGACUCACAAUAAAUGCAUAAACGGUGAAGGAGUGGAUUAGGUGCUAACAUUUCUCAAUAUCAAGGCAAGUUUUUCUCCUCCCAUCCUUUGAACACAUUGAAUCCCAUGAUUUGAGGAAUGAAAAUGUUUGUUUGCAAAGUUGCAUGUAAAUUUAGACUAUAUCGGUAUUUAAAAUUGGGAUAAGGUAGUUAUGACCUAUUUGCUGCAUACCCUACCUUGAAUAAUUGUGAUCCUUUCUAUUUGAACCCCUAUAAAUGGUUAGGUUAGAGUACUCUCUUUGAGCUCAAAUGAGUUUAUAUAUGUUCUAUGUGCAACUACUUGCUUAGCCAUGCUUAGAAAUAUGCAAAUGCUUAUUCCAUCUAUGAUUAAAAUGUGAUUUUGACACAUGAACCUUUGCUGGAAUAAAAUGAAUGUGAUGGGUAUUUGUGAACUAAAAUGUGAAUUUAGACUUGGGCGGCAAGUGAUGUGUAUAUAGUGUUUGUUGCAUACCGAUAGGGGGAGUGUUUGCCCAAGUCCGUAAGAACUGAACUUGUGUCACCCACUUAAAGUUAUUUGUAUAUCUACAUGUGCUAGUAUGGGAUGGCCUAGGCUGAUUAAUCUAUUUAGGACUAGCCUUGCAUUCUGGUAGGCCGGUGUGUAUGAGUUAGUCGAUAAUUCUGAGGAAUUAGUCGAUGAUUCAGAGGAACUUACUAUUGACCCCGACGUGGUAGUUUAGGUGACUAAGUCUGUCCAAUACAACGGUAUUGUGCCACUUGGUGGGUUCCCAUCGUGUCCGCCACCACGGCCUUAAGUUUAAGGCAUGGGCCCGCCACUUAACGAUUCUAGGCAUAUUCGAAGUAUGCCUAGGAUAGAGGAACACGUAUCGUGCUGGUGCAAGGCUAGGCUCUAAGUAGUUUAAAGGCUUCGUUAUGACCUCUAGACCACAUUCAUCAUGAAGAGUGUGGUGGAGUCUUGCAAACUCAAAACAAACUAGAGAGUUCAUAUCAUGUGGGUAAAGCUGUACAAACUCUGCAGAGUUCUAAAAACUAAUCGAUUAACCGUGCUCACGGUCAUGAGCGCUUUGGUGAAGUGUCAUGAGUACAGACUCUAUGUUUUAAAAUGUGAACAUGUGACUUGUUAUCAAGGAUAAAAUGUGUUGAGUUGUGUAUGUGGUAAUAUAUUAUGACUUGUUAUCAAGGAUGAUAUCAAGAGAUUGAUUAUGAUGGAAUUAUGAAGAACUUAAUGUUGAAACUUAAAAUUUGUUUUUGUUAAUUGAAGCGUCAAAUCCUUUACAAAAGAAUUGCGAAACAAAACUUACUUUACGCUGAAAUUGAACUACAUAUAGUCUUACUUUGAAUAUAUGCCUUAACAUGUAGUAUGCUAGGAUUGACUUGUGCUUGCCAGUACAUUAACGUGUGUAAUAUACUGACUUUUGUUGUUGAUAUAACCUUUUGCUUCCAAGUAUAUAUUUAGUUGCUUAGUGAUGCGGGUUUCUGCUUCUUCUAGGAUAAGAACUUAAAUGGGGUGAACCCCUAGUCGAUGUGCUUGUGAAUGGGUAGUUAAGCUUCCGCUGUUCUCUAAUAAGUCUAUUUGGCCGAUCGACCUAUGUAUCUCUAAAUUAGUUGUAAAUUUUAAUCGCUUUCAUCUUAUUGUGUGUGCUAUGUAUACCCAUGCUUAGGAUGAAAGUGUGAAUCUAGUGCACAUCCUAGGAGCUAGAUUCACAUGAGUAUGAGUUAAGAAUAUUUGAGAUGUUGUAGAUCUUUAGCUAUUUUGUCAAG